UUUACGUAGUCCUGCUCAGGAUGACGCUGCGGCGUGCUAACACACUGGCAAGUACGAACGAAGACGAUGUAUGGAACGUUACUUCGUAGGAGGGAAAGUACAUGACUGAGUGGCGGACGGGUGAGUACGCGUGGGUAACCUGCCGUAUACAGGGGGAUAACAGCCAGAAAUGGCUGCUAAUACCGCAUAAGCGCACAGCACCGCAUGGUGCAGUGUGAAAAACUCCGGUGGUAUACGAUGGACCCGCGUCUGAUUAGCUAGUUGAGGGGUAAAGCCCACCAAGGCGACGAUCAGUAGCCGGCCUGAGAGGGUGGACGGCCACAUUGGGACUGAGACACGGCCCAAACUCCUACGGGAGGCAGCAGUGGGGAAUAUUGCACAAUGGGGGAAACCCUGAUGCAGCGACGCCGCGUGAAGGAAGAAGUAUCUCGGUAUGUAAACUUCUAUCAGCAGGGAAGAAAAUGACGGUACCUGACUAAGAAGCUCUGGCUAAAUACGUG
RNAcentral lists this ribosomal RNA (500 nucleotides) under uncultured Eubacteriales bacterium. RNAcentral describes it as "bacterial SSU rRNA". It matches the Rfam family "Bacterial small subunit ribosomal RNA", at positions 1 to 507 of the family's 1533-position model. The record is from RNAcentral. Lineage: Bacteria; Bacillati; Bacillota; Clostridia; Eubacteriales.